Molecule: ribosomal RNA, 363 nt
Filed under: Ribes acuminatum
Lineage: Eukaryota; Viridiplantae; Streptophyta; Magnoliopsida; Saxifragales; Grossulariaceae
Source: RNAcentral
UCUAACCUUUUUUUCGAUGCUAGUGAGCGUUUUCGAAGGAUACGACCAAAAUAUCUUGAUUUGUUGCCAUUAAAGAUGAAACUAACGUAAUUGGAACGUUUAUACACGGAAAUCGAGGAUUUUUAAUAGUUUCUGUAUCUGUUUUUAUCCAUCCGCSCAUUUAGAUUCCAUUUUUGCGUCAAUUUUGAUGUUUAUUUUUAAAUUUGUCGUGCAUUCCCUGUGAAAUAAUUUGUAAAAUUACAAAAAGUGUUUGAAACAAGGUUCCUCCCACUUUUUAUGCCCUAAUAGUUUCUGUAUUAUUUAUUAUUGGAUAAGUUGAAAAUGCUUUCUCAGAAUGAGUUAUAUGCAAAUAGUGUGCGAAUG